GACGAGCGCUGGCGGCGUGCUUAACACAUGCAAGUCGAGCGGUAAGGCCUUUCGGGGUACACGAGCGGCGAACGGGUGAGUAACACGUGGGUGAUCUGCCCUGCACUUCGGGAUAAGCCUGGGAAACUGGGUCUAAUACCGGAUAUGACCUCCUAUCGCAUGGUGGGUGGUGGAAAGAUUUAUCGGUGCAGGAUGGGCCCGCGGCCUAUCAGCUUGUUGGUGGGGUAAUGGCCUACCAAGGCGACGACGGGUAGCCGACCUGAGAGGGUGACCGGCCACACUGGGACUGAGACACGGCCCAGACUCCUACGGGAGGCAGCAGUGGGGAAUAUUGCACAAUGGGCGAAAGCCUGAUGCAGCGACGCCGCGUGAGGGAUGACGGCCUUCGGGUUGUAAACCUCUUUCAGCAGGGACGAAGCGCAAGUGACGGUACCUGCAGAAGAAGCACCGGCUAACUACGUG
This 462-nucleotide ribosomal RNA is filed under the name uncultured bacterium. RNAcentral's name for it is "partial 16S ribosomal RNA". It matches the Rfam family "Bacterial small subunit ribosomal RNA", at positions 28 to 507 of the family's 1533-position model. The record is from RNAcentral.